UUUUUUAUUGAUAUCUUUGUGAGAGUAUCAAAUCAAGAUGCACUAAAUAUGUAUAAGUAACUAGGCUACAGUGUGUACCAGACAGUAUCAGACUGCAACUCUGUUAGCAACUGCAAACCAGAGGAAGAUGCUUAUGAUAUGAGAAAACCUCUUUCCAGAGAUGUGGAGAAGAGAUCAAUUAUAUCUCCACCUCAUCCUUUGAGACCAGAAGAUACUGAGUACCUCCCAUGGGUGCAGGAAGCAACUGUUACCCAUGGGAUGAAUGU
Oxyura jamaicensis (ruddy duck) is the source of this 266-nucleotide long non-coding RNA. RefSeq lists it as uncharacterized. The transcript has 3 exons. NCBI's taxonomy places the organism in Eukaryota, Metazoa, Chordata, Aves, Anseriformes, Anatidae. The record is from RefSeq and is a predicted model, not a curated record.